Small nucleolar RNA from Andrographis paniculata, 107 nucleotides. NCBI's taxonomy places the organism in Eukaryota, Viridiplantae, Streptophyta, Magnoliopsida, Lamiales, Acanthaceae. The record is from RefSeq and is a predicted model, not a curated record.
AUUUGAUAUUCUGGACAUUUAAUGAUAAACUUAUUAAAUUGCUCCCAAUAUUCAUGGAGCGUUUCACCAAAUUUUUGCUUGAUACUAUAUAUCUCCUUCCUCAGAAU